This 464-nucleotide ribosomal RNA is filed under the name uncultured bacterium. RNAcentral describes it as "bacterial SSU rRNA". It matches the Rfam family "Bacterial small subunit ribosomal RNA", at positions 335 to 796 of the family's 1533-position model. The record is from RNAcentral.
ACUCCUACGGGAGGCAGCAGUAAGGAAUAUUGGGCAAUGGGCGGGAGCCUGACCCAGCCAUGCCGCGUGCAGGAAGACGGCCCUAUGGGUUGUAAACUGCUUUUCUAUGGGACUAACCGCCCUUACGUGUAGGGGUCUGCAUGUACCAUAGGAAUAAGCAUCGGCUAACUCCGUGCCAGCAGCCGCGGUAAUACGGAGGAUGCGAGCGUUAUCCGGAUUUAUUGGGUUUAAAGGGUGCGUAGGCUGGUAAAUAAGUCAGUGGUGAAAAAUUCGGGCUCAACCUGAAUCCUGCCAAUGAAACUGUUUACCUGGAGUGUAAACGAAGUGGGCGGAAUGAGGGGUGUAGCGGUGAAAUGCAUAGAUAUUCCUCAGAACACCGAUAGCGAAGGCAGCUCACUAGGAUACAACUGACGCUGAGGCACGAAAGCGUGGGUAUCAAACAGGAUUAGAAACCCCUGUAGUCC